AGAAACGAUAAAUCGUAGCCAGUUUCGACCUGACCUUAGGUUCUUAUUAACCCUUACUUGCUUA
Molecule: transfer RNA, 64 nt
Filed under: Ellipes minuta
Lineage: Eukaryota; Metazoa; Arthropoda; Insecta; Orthoptera; Tridactylidae
Description: tRNA-Arg
Source: RNAcentral